Molecule: non-coding RNA, 208 nt
Organism: Schizosaccharomyces pombe (fission yeast)
Lineage: Eukaryota; Fungi; Ascomycota; Schizosaccharomycetes; Schizosaccharomycetales; Schizosaccharomycetaceae
Source: the annotation of a GenBank genome assembly
CAAGCCAUAAGAAAGGUUUUUCGAAGUUAUAAUUGGACUUGGCGGAGAUGUCGUAGUAUUGAAGGUUUUUCUUGCGAUGGAAAGUGAUAGCCUUAGCCUUGACUUUACGCUCUUUAACAUCAACUUUGUUACCGCAAAGAACAAUGGGAAUGUUUUCACAAACACGGACAAGAUCACCUGCAUUCGAUUAGUAAUGUUCAUUAAAGUA